Molecule: ribosomal RNA, 400 nt
Filed under: uncultured cyanobacterium
Lineage: Bacteria; Bacillati; Cyanobacteriota
Description: bacterial SSU rRNA
Rfam family: Bacterial small subunit ribosomal RNA
Source: RNAcentral
UGGGGAAUUUUCCGCAAUGGGCGAAAGCCUGACGGAGCAAUACCGCGUGCGGGAGGAAGGCCUUUGGGUCGUAAACCGCUUUUCUCAGGGAAGAAGUUCUGACGGUACCUGAGGAAAAAGCCUCGGCUAACUCCGUGCCAGCAGCCGCGGUAAUACGGAGGAGGCAAGCGUUAUCCGGAAUUAUUGGGCGUAAAGCGUCCGCAGGUGGUCUUGUAAGUCUGCUGUCAAAUACAGAAGCUCAACUUCUGGUCGGCAGUGGAAACUGCAAAACUAGAGUACAGUAGGGGUAGAGGGAAUUCCCAGUGUAGCGGUGAAAUGCGUAGAGAUUGGGAAGAACACCGGUGGCGAAAGCGCUCUACUGGGCUGUAACUGACACUGAGGGACGAAAGCUAGGGGAGCG